CCUACGGGAGGCAGCAGUGAGGAAUAUUGGUCAAUGGGCUUACGCCUGACCCAGCCAAGUCGCGUGCGGGAAGACUGCCCUAUGAGUUGUAAACCUCUUUUGUCCGGGAGCAAUUGGCGCUACGUGUAGCGUUAUCGAGAGUACCUGCAGAAAAAGCAUCGGCUAACUCCGUGCCAGCAGCCGCGGUCAUACGGAGGAUGCGAGCGUUAUCCGAAUUUAUUGGGUUUAAGGGGUGCGUAGGCGGCAUGUCAAGUCAGCGGUAAAACCGCGGGGCUCAACCUCGCUCCGCCGUUGAAACUGGCGUGCUUGAGUGUGCGAGAAGUAGGCGGAAUGCGUGGUGUAGCGGUGAAAUGCAUAGAGAUCACGCAGAACACCGAUGGCGAAGGCAGCAUACCGGCGCCCAACUGACGCUGAAGCACGAAAGCGUGGGUAGCGAACAGGAUUAGAUACCCGAGUAGUC
RNAcentral lists this ribosomal RNA (460 nucleotides) under uncultured bacterium. Its description in RNAcentral is "partial 16S ribosomal RNA". It matches the Rfam family "Bacterial small subunit ribosomal RNA", at positions 338 to 795 of the family's 1533-position model. The record is from RNAcentral.